Peromyscus californicus insignis is the source of this 590-nucleotide long non-coding RNA. RefSeq lists it as uncharacterized. Lineage: Eukaryota; Metazoa; Chordata; Mammalia; Rodentia; Cricetidae. The record is from RefSeq and is a predicted model, not a curated record. The transcript is spliced from 3 exons.
CAGAAAAAUCACACAAUGGUUUGAACAGAAAAAAAAUCAACACAUACAAAAAAGAAGACGGAAGUCGUGAAGGGUUGGCUACGUCAUAGGAGGGACAGCGGGCGUAAGAGGCAGGUAGUACCCCACCACCCCCUACCCCUCACCCCUGAGCUGAGAUAAGGAGCUCAGGCUAUCUUUUCACAAGCUUGGCAACCAGACCUCACUGUGGAGUGUGAGAGCUUCGGGAGCGGCAUUCGUCGAAACGCUGAUUUCUGGAGUGGCAGAGAAAGCCAUCCACCCAGAAGUUGCUUUGCUUCAGAGGAAGCCGUUGCAGAGCAAAUAUCCACCAUGCCUCUGCCUAUGCAGAAUUCUCAGCAUCCAUCACCGGCCAAAAGCUCCUCUGGCAGUAGUGGAGCCUUGUGACGCCCUCCCCAUCCAUGCUGGAGUAUUGACUGGCUUGACCUUGUGUUCAUCUUGAACGGGCAAACAACAGCUGCUGGAGAAAAUGAAUGGUGGAGAGUUUUUAGAGACUAGAAGUACCAUCAGAGUACCAUUUAUAGCACUGACUCAUCGUCCUCCGUUACACACGCUGAGGAUUUCCUCUAUUUAUA